Molecule: RNA transcript, 2612 nt
Organism: Sinocyclocheilus grahami
Lineage: Eukaryota; Metazoa; Chordata; Actinopteri; Cypriniformes; Cyprinidae
Gene name: zinc finger and SCAN domain-containing protein 21-like
Exons: 5
Source: RefSeq, a predicted model, not a curated record
ACAGCAGGAUGAACGCAGACAAAACGACAGACGAGAAAUACCUUUGUUAUGGAUGUGGAAAUAAGAGAUGGAUAGACCCUUCAGUGACAUUUGAUCAACGCACAAUGUCUAAACUGCAGAUUUUAAGUGUUUUUCUGACAGAGAGAUUAACAUUAGCUGCGCAGGAGAUAUUUAAGGCUGUGGAAGACAUCUUUUCAGAGUAUAAUGAGGAGAUUUGUCGCUCCAGACUGGAGAUUGAGCUGCUCAAGAGGAGACUGCAGCAGGCAGGAGUUCAGAUGGACUCUGUAACACAGCUUUGCUCCACUGAGACUCAAGGACAGAAAUACACCCAGACAUUUUCAGAGGAAUGGAGAUCUGAACAUGACUUGAAGGAUACUGCAAUGCAUAUGAUCCUAGAUAUUUGUACAAAGGAGGAGGAGAAUGAAGAGGACAUGCCUGUGUGCGGUGAAUCAGCAUCUUUAUCACCAUGUGUGGACAUUUAUCAUGAUCAGAUGCCAAGCAAAGACACUGAAACCCAAGUGAUGGACAGCGGUGAGAAUCAUUUUCUCUUUAUUAACAAAGCAGCUCGAAUUAAGAAUGAGCCUGAGACUAAUACUGAAACAGGUACCACCUGCCAAAUACAGCAGAACAUCACAAAACAAGAUUUGGAUGAUUCAGGGGCCAGCGAUGCUUCCAGUGACGUCAACAAAGUCAAAGUUAGCCACGUUGGCUUCCCCAGACAUGAGAGACAAACAUUUAAUCUGCCCCUCAGAAAUCAAGAGAUGUUGACGCAGCAUUGGAUGGAGCUGGCCCAGAUAAGAGAGAGAAUGUCUUUGAAAAUCCAGUCCUGUCACUCUGAGUGUAAAAGUAAGAAAAGUCAACCAUCUGUCUGUCAGGAUGAAGUGUCAAAAUCUGACGAGCAGAAACCCGAAAAUGCAAGAUACAGUCAGGCCUGGAGGGAUCAUUUGAAAAAAGACCCUGUAAAAUUUGCUGAGUUCAAAGCUUUUGAAGCUGCAAGAGCAAGAGAGUAUAGAAGAAAGAGGACUGCUGCUGCUGUAGAAAUUGAUAAGGAUAAUAACCGUGAGCGACAGCGAAGAUUCAGAACCAAAAAGAAGUUACAUCAGUGCAAAGCUGAUGAUAACCCUCUGCCACCUAAAAAAACAAAAGCCUUAACAGAAGAAGAGAGGAUGAAGAAACGAGAGUAUGAUAGGAUAAAAAAAAGAGAAGAGAGAGAGAGGAUGGGAGCAGAGAAAAAAAGACAAAUUCGUGAAAGAGAUGCAUCGCGAAAGAGGGAAAAAAGAAACAAGACAAAUCUUACUGACACUCCACAUACAAAUUUUGGCUCUAAAUCGUACAGCUGGAUCUAAGUCUGCAAAACGAAUGGCAGUGUUACGGAUGAGGGAAAAAAUUCCGGCUGAUGCAGAAAAGUUGGACAUUGUAACAGACUUCAUCCAUUGCUGUGCUCCUCAUAAACAAGCAGCUUUGAAAGCUAGAGGUCUGAAAAAAGCUUGACGAUGAAUAGAUUUCGAUGGCCCGCUUCAAAAAGAACUUCAAUCCACAUUUGAAGCUCUAUAGAAGGAUACUGCAUCCUUGAAGAAGCAGAGCCUGAUUGUCACUAGUUUGUUGGUUGCCAAAAAGUACAGAAUGCAACACAUUUUAGCAAAGACGCUUUAAUCUUUGUCCAGCAUAUCUCACUAAAUUAUCAAAGUCCUCAUCCAAUGAAAGUUUACGUAAAAAACGAAGGUCUGAUAUCACUUGCAUGGAUGCUGUGAACAAUAUAGUUACUUUCUAUUGAAUCCUAAGGUAUCACAAUAACUUCCUUACAUAAAGAAACAGCAACAAAGAUUCCUCAUGAAGAUCUCUCUACAGAAGGCCUAUGAAGUCUGGAAGCUGGAAAAUCAAGAAAAUAAUGUCGCACCCUUUCCUACUUUCUCAUAGCUUCGACCUUCAUAUGUUCUUCAUCAGCAUUGGAUGGACUUGUUGUCUUGUCGCUGUGAAUAUUGUACUGGAGUUUUACUGAAGCUUUAGAGCCUGAACAGAAUUCUCACUGCUUGUAAUCGUAAUCAUAAUCAUAAUCGUUAUCCUAAAGUAUUACAAGAACUUCCUUACAAACCUGGUUAAACUAGGUGAAAUUCAGCAUGAAACUCGUUUACUCCAUUCUGUAUGGUGUGUUUCUCUUGGGGUCCUGUAUACUCGCCUGUAUUAAUGUUACUGUGGUGGGUGUAUGAAUGUUGAAGAUGGAAGCCAGUGUUCCAACUCGAAUUAUGUCCUUCCUUGGCAACGACAUGCCUUGAACUUGGAUGCUAAAAUAGUUGAUUUAUACUGGCCUGUGACUGAAGAAAAGAACACCUUACUUCAUAAUUCUACUCUAAGUGAAGACAACCAACUUCCUAAUAAACAAAAAGGUCUCUAGAUGAAACUUAACUCAGGAUUUGCAGAUAGAAAUUCUCAGGGAUUAUGCUGUCCUGUAAACCCACCCAACCAAGUGAUGCUUGAAACCAAGUGGUAGAAGUUCUUGAUGUCUCUGACGAAGGACUCCGAAUGAAGUUUCUGGAGCCACAUGGAGUCAGCAGUUUUUUUUCCUGGCCCAAGACUUAUGAUGUUGAACUAGUGGAUCCAGUCCACAUAUUUCA